GUCUUGCCUGGGGAAGGGUUUCAGUAUUUCUUCCCAGGUCAGAGUAGAGGGAGGCGUGCCCUGUCUGCUAGCUUCCUGUAUAUGGGACUUCCCCUGGGAUGGAUCAGAUGCGUGGGGGGGGGGGGGGCGUACCCUGUCCUGAACAAACAUGCCGGGGAAGCGGGUCAGCUUGGAAAGUGUGAACGAGAUAACUGCAGCCAUGUUCCCCCAUAGCUGGAUAAACACUCCCCGCGAGGCUGACUGUUUUCUCAGACUGUCAGACCUAAAACUCUUGAAGAGUGUCGGUAUCAAGCAAUCUUUCCUGUGACUGAGGUCCUGCUUUCAUCCUUUCCCACACGGCUGUGUAGCUCUUCAGCAGAGCAAAGAACAACCCAAGGAUAAGAUGAAAAUCUCCCCCAAACAGGCUUCAUCUUUGAUCCAAAGACACCGGUCCCUGAUCUACACGCAAGCUCCAUUUCCCAGGACUUCCUGUGGCUACUUUCAGAUGCUUUGCUUCAUCAUGCCGUUCUGUCCCCUCGAUAGCACUUUGAUUCCCGCUUCAGAGAAGAGAGCAGAAACUCAUUACAUAACAUGCUCCACAUCUUAGUCAUUGGCAUCCUGAGUCUAGCUGUGAGUGACUCCAGAGCUGGAAUUUUGUUCACUCCACUGAUUCUCAGAGGAGGCAACACCCAGAGAAGUGUUUUCAGCCUCUGCUGAGAAUCACGGGCAUACCAGCUUUUCAUUUCCUUCAUCACCAUUUUGUCAGUGUGACUACUCAAUAGCUCACCUGGUUUUCAGCACUGUGUGUGCCUGCGUGCUGUCUCCUAUCUCAGUGGCUCCAGUGUCACUGGGUAUUUUCCCAGCAGGUCCUAUUCUCUUGUUUCGCUGGAAAGUCAAGUGAGGAGAAAGGGGGCAACCAGGCAUAUUGGUGUACGCCUGAGUCAGGAGGAUCAGAAGUUCAAGGGGUUUCCUGUGUCUUAACAUCCUUGAGAUGGUAUCAGCUGUCAACUUUCCAGUCAGCUUACCUGAACUUUAUCAGCCCUUAGCUCCGUGCUCCCUCUCCUCUUUUGGAGGAAUGAGAAGGGGAAGGGGCAGUCUGAAGGGGAAGAAAAACAAACCACGCCAAGAAGACCAGGCCCAAGAACUUAUCAAACACACCAGGACCAAGGAAGGGGAUAGCUGCCUCACCUGACCCCAUAAAGGUGACAUCUACCAAAUGGAUGUGGCUGCACAUGCCUCUAAUUCCAGCACUCGGGAGACAGAGGCAGGCAUAUGUGAGUUGGAAGCCAACCUGGUCUACAGGACAGCCAGGGCUACAUAGUGAGAUGCUGUCUCAAAAGAAAGGGGGUUGAGAAAAAGAAAAAGAAGGAAGAUGACAUCAACCUCUGAGAUGGAACGGCCCCACCAACCUGUCAUCUGACCACCUGGAGAGUGAGAUUUGUUCUCAUUUGUUUUUGUUGGAGUCAUGAAGUAGUACUUUCUCAUUGGGACCACCAGCCCUCACCCCCAGACAAUAAGAAAAAGUCUAGAGAAC
This 1513-nucleotide long non-coding RNA is filed under the name Cricetulus griseus (Chinese hamster). Its description in RNAcentral is "lncRNA (ENSCGRG00015037206.1)". The record is from RNAcentral. Lineage: Eukaryota; Metazoa; Chordata; Mammalia; Rodentia; Cricetidae.